AGUACGUAGUCUUAUUGUUCAGACGAUUUUCAACCCGAGGAACACGGAGUUUGCCGAGGUGGUCACCAGCAGCGAAGCUCCUCGGAACCAACGCCGGACAACCCGUGUGCUGGCUGCCGAGCCUGCGGGUGGUGCGCUGGGCCUCC
Ixodes scapularis (black-legged tick) is the source of this 146-nucleotide long non-coding RNA. RefSeq lists it as uncharacterized. The record is from RefSeq and is a predicted model, not a curated record. Lineage: Eukaryota; Metazoa; Arthropoda; Arachnida; Ixodida; Ixodidae. The transcript has 3 exons.